CCUACGGGAGGCAGCAGUGAGGAAUAUUGGUCAAUGGCCGUAAGGCUGAACCAGCCAAGUAGCGUGAGGGAAGACUGCCCUAUGGGUUGUAAACCUCUUUUAUGCGGGGAUAAAGGUGUCCACGUGUGGAUGUUUGCAGGUACCGCAUGAAUAAGGACCGGCUAAUUCCGUGCCAGCCGCCGCGGUAAUACGGAAGGUCCGGGCGUUAUCCGGAUUUCUUGGGUUUAAAGGGAGCGUAGGCCGGUCUUUAAGCGUGCCGUGAAAUUUUUUGGCUCAACCAUGAGAGUGCGGCGCGAACUGGAGACCUUGAGUGCGCGGAAGGCAGGCGGAAUUCGUGGUGUAGCGGUGAAAUGCUUAGAUAUCACGAAGAACCCCGAUUGCGAAGGCAGCCGGCCGAAGCGUUACUGACGCUGAAGCUCGAAAGCGCGGGUAUCGAACAGGAUUAGAUACCCCUGUAGUC
Molecule: ribosomal RNA, 460 nt
Filed under: uncultured bacterium
Lineage: Bacteria
Description: partial 16S ribosomal RNA
Rfam family: Bacterial small subunit ribosomal RNA
Source: RNAcentral